CCUCUCCAUGAUGAGGAGAUCAUCGUGUACAUGUUGGCGGGAUUGGACACUGAGUUUGACUCACUGGUCACAUCUAUCAAUAUAAGGUCAAAUUCAAUUUCUCUUAGUGAUCUCUAUGUAUACAUGCUGGUAUUUGAGC
This is a small nucleolar RNA of Dioscorea cayenensis subsp. rotundata (Guinea yam), 139 nucleotides long. RefSeq annotates it as small nucleolar RNA Z247. The record is from RefSeq and is a predicted model, not a curated record. Lineage: Eukaryota; Viridiplantae; Streptophyta; Magnoliopsida; Dioscoreales; Dioscoreaceae. The transcript has a single exon.